This 1027-nucleotide ribosomal RNA is filed under the name human gut metagenome. Its description in RNAcentral is "bacterial SSU rRNA". It matches the Rfam family "Bacterial small subunit ribosomal RNA", at positions 28 to 1070 of the family's 1533-position model. The record is from RNAcentral.
GACGAACGCUGGCGGCGCGCCUAACACAUGCAAGUCGAACGAGCGAGAGAGAGCUUGCUUUCUCGAGCGAGUGGCGAACGGGUGAGUAACGCGUGAGGAACCUGCCUCAAAGAGGGGGACAACAGUUGGAAACGACUGCUAAUACCGCAUAAGCCCACAGCUCCGCAUGGAGCAGAGGGAAAAGGAGCAAUCCGCUUUGAGAUGGCCUCGCGUCCGAUUAGCUAGUUGGUGAGGUAACGGCCCACCAAGGCGACGAUCGGUAGCCGGACUGAGAGGUUGAACGGCCACAUUGGGACUGAGACACGGCCCAGACUCCUACGGGAGGCAGCAGUGGGGAAUAUUGCACAAUGGGGGAAACCCUGAUGCAGCGACGCCGCGUGGAGGAAGAAGGUCUUCGGAUUGUAAACUCCUGUUGUUGGGGAAGAUAAUGACGGUACCCAACAAGGAAGUGACGGCUAACUACGUGCCAGCAGCCGCGGUAAAACGUAGGUCACAAGCGUUGUCCGGAAUUACUGGGUGUAAAGGGAGCGCAGGCGGGAAGACAAGUUGGAAGUGAAAUCUAUGGGCUCAACCCAUAAACUGCUUUCAAAACUGUUUUUCUUGAGUAGUGCAGAGGUAGGCGGAAUUCCCGGUGUAGCGGUGGAAUGCGUAGAUAUCGGGAGGAACACCAGUGGCGAAGGCGGCCUACUGGGCACCAACUGACGCUGAGGCUCGAAAGUGUGGGUAGCAAACAGGAUUAGAUACCCUGGUAGUCCACACCGUAAACGAUGAUUACUAGGUGUUGGAGGAUUGACCCCUUCAGUGCCGCAGUUAACACAAUAAGUAAUCCACCUGGGGAGUACGACCGCAAGGUUGAAACUCAAAGGAAUUGACGGGGGCCCGCACAAGCAGUGGAGUAUGUGGUUUAAUUCGACGCAACGCGAAGAACCUUACCAAGUCUUGACAUCCUGCGACGUGCAUAGAAAUAUGUAUUUCCUUCGGGACGCAGAGACAGGUGGUGCAUGGUUGUCGUCAGCUCGUGUCGUGA